Molecule: ribosomal RNA, 482 nt
Filed under: uncultured bacterium
Lineage: Bacteria
Description: partial 16S ribosomal RNA
Rfam family: Bacterial small subunit ribosomal RNA
Source: RNAcentral
GACGAACGCUGGCGGCGUGCUUAACACAUGCAAGUCGAACGAUGAAGCCCAGUUUGCUGGGUGGAUUAGUGGCGAACGGGUGAGUAACACGUGGGCAACCGGCCCCAAACGCUAGGAUAACUCCUCGAAAGGGGUGCUAAUACCGGAUACGAACUAGAAAGACGUAUGUACUAGUUGGCAAGGUUGUCGGUGUGGGAUGGGCCCGCGGCCUAUCAGCUGGUUGGUGAGGUAACGGCUAGCCAAGGCUACGACGGGUAACCGGCCUGAGAGGGCGACCGGUCACACUGGGACUGAGACACGGCCCAGACUCCUACGGGAGGCAGCAGUGGGGAAUAUUGCGCAAUGGGCGAAAGCCUGACGCAGCGACGCCGCGUGAGGGAUGAAGGUCUUCGGAUCGUAAACCUCUUUCAGUAGGGACGAAGCGAAAGUGACGGUACCUAAAGAAGAAGCACCGGCUAACUACGUGCCAGCAGCCGCAGUAA